GGAUGACAUGGAGGUCACCUCUGAGUCUGACACCGUUGUUCUGGUUCUGAUCAAUGGUCAGAUCCAAUAGAUGUCCCCCAAAGAUACCCUCUGAUUCUGUGUUUCAGUGGACAGGAUGCUGUAGGAUAAGCAGUACCCCUCUGUGAAUUUGCCCAAGAAUCUCUGACUGCCAGGGCUGAAGUAACAGGUUCAUACAAUAUAGGAUCCACUCUAUAUAAGAUCCUUCUCCUCAUUGACCGGUCAAAGAUGGAUAGGGACAAGAUGGCGGAGAGUAUAAUAAAUCUCACCCUGGAGAUCCUCUUCUGGCUUACUGGAGAGGACUACACAGUAGUGAAGAAGACCUCUAGUGGGCUGCUGUCAGGCCCCUGUCUCUGAAGGAUGGGGAAGAACCCUGAGCCCAAUCAUGGGGCCUCCACCUAACCCCCUGAUACAUGAGCAAAUCAAUAUAGAGAAGAUUCUAGAACUCACCAACAAGAUGAUUGAGCUGCUGACUGGAAAGGUUCCUAUAAGGUGUCAGGAUGUCACCGUCUAUUUCUCCAUGGAGGAGUGGGAGUAUUUAG
Long non-coding RNA from Bufo gargarizans (Asiatic toad), 560 nucleotides. RefSeq lists it as uncharacterized. Lineage: Eukaryota; Metazoa; Chordata; Amphibia; Anura; Bufonidae. The record is from RefSeq and is a predicted model, not a curated record. The transcript has 5 exons.